Molecule: ribosomal RNA, 464 nt
Filed under: Streptococcus sp. oral taxon 071
Lineage: Bacteria; Bacillati; Bacillota; Bacilli; Lactobacillales; Streptococcaceae
Description: bacterial SSU rRNA
Rfam family: Bacterial small subunit ribosomal RNA
Source: RNAcentral
GACGAACGCUGGCGGCGUGCCUAAUACAUGCAAGUAGAACGCUGAAGAGAGGAGCUUGCUCUUCUUGGAUGAGUUGCGAACGGGUGAGUAACGCGUAGGUAACCUGCCUGGUAGCGGGGGAUAACUAUUGGAAACGAUAGCUAAUACCGCAUAAAAUGGAUUAUCGCAUGAUAAUGCAUUGAAAGGUGCAAAUGCAUCACUACCAGAUGGACCUGCGUUGUAUUAGCUAGUUGGUGGGGUAACGGCUCACCAAGGCGACGAUACAUAGCCGACCUGAGAGGGUGAUCGGCCACACUGGGACUGAGACACGGCCCAGACUCCUACGGGAGGCAGCAGUAGGGAAUCUUCGGCAAUGGACGGAAGUCUGACCGAGCAACGCCGCGUGAGUGAAGAAGGUUUUCGGAUCGUAAAGCUCUGUUGUAAGAGAAGAACGAGUGUGAGAGUGGAAAGUUCACACUGUGACG